Molecule: long non-coding RNA, 250 nt
Filed under: Homo sapiens (human)
Lineage: Eukaryota; Metazoa; Chordata; Mammalia; Primates; Hominidae
Description: non-protein coding lnc-TP53TG3D-5:1
Source: RNAcentral
UGCAUAGAGCGGCGCUGCGCGUAGCGGCCAGGGGAGAGAAGAAGGAGGGCGGUGGCGGGGGUGAUGUGGCGGCCUCUUUGGGAGGCGCAGGGGCCGCAGCCAGCCAGACGCUGCAGCAGUGUGGGCAGCUCCAGAAGCUUGUGGGCAGCUCCAGAAGCUUAUCCGCAUCUCCAUUGGCAGCCUGCGCCGGUUGCGCAACAAGUGCGCUGUGUCCAAGGACCUCACCCAGCAGGAGAUACGGACCCUGGAG